UACGUAGGUGGCAAGCGUUGUCCGGAUUUACUGGGCGUAAAGAGCGCGCAGGCGGUCGUACAAGUCGCGUGUGAAAGCCCCCGGCUCAACUGGGGAGGGUCACGCGAUACUGUUCGACUCGAAGGCAGGAGAGGGAAGCGGAAUUCCCGGUGUAGUGGUGAAAUGCGUAGAUAUCGGGAGGAACACCAGUGGCGAAGGCGGCUUCCUGGCCUGUUCUUGACGCUGAGGCGCGACAGCGUGGGGAGCAAACGGG
This 253-nucleotide ribosomal RNA is filed under the name uncultured bacterium. RNAcentral's name for it is "partial 16S ribosomal RNA". It matches the Rfam family "Bacterial small subunit ribosomal RNA", at positions 524 to 776 of the family's 1533-position model. The record is from RNAcentral.